Molecule: long non-coding RNA, 8539 nt
Filed under: Cucumis sativus (cucumber)
Lineage: Eukaryota; Viridiplantae; Streptophyta; Magnoliopsida; Cucurbitales; Cucurbitaceae
Description: long non-coding RNA (CSAT_LNC001403)
Source: RNAcentral
AACACUUAAACUAAAUGAAUUUUAUUGAUCUCGUUGUUGACAACAAUUAUGAAAGAAGCACACAACGAUAUGUAAGGAUAAAACCUUUGUAUAAAUAAGCAAUAAAAUUGGACGACAAGAGGGUCAAGGAAUUUAGAUUUUCCUUGUUGAAAUGCUAAUUAUUCAAAUAAUUUAUACUUGAUCCGAUCAUUUUCCCGAUCUCUGCUUUAAUAAUUCCAUGGUCAAUUAUCAAUGGGAAGUUAGUUCUUGACUGAUGCUGCAAAACAAAUGAAUAAAAAAUCAAAUUAACAAAAAAAAAAAAAAAACAUUAAGUUGAAAGAAAUAAACAAUCAAUUUUUUUUGGAUGAGUUUUCAUUCUAAAAUUUCGACUCUACGAUCCCUUCAAUUUCUAGCAUCAAAACUAUUAAAGUAAGGAAUGCGAAUCUUAUCAAACACACUAAUUUCAAGAAUAAAGGUUAAAUUUUGCCUUGCAACUAAAAUUUAUCUCACUUAAAAAAUUAAUUAUUGCCUUAAAGAAAACAAACAUUUCUGUUGAGAUUGAAGAAAAUACCAAUAGUCUUUUCCGUGCAAUCAUUGUUGCAUUUCUGAUGACAUGAAGCAUUGGCAUUGCCUUUUGCAUCACAUUCUUUCCUGCAUGUUAGUACACAUGAUUCCAUUUGAGGCCAUAGUUUCAUUCCUUCGGCGAUACUUUUGAUCUUUUCGGCCGCCUGAAGAUCUGGGCUCAUGUUAGCGGUCGUCUGUGCCUUGGAGAAUUGUAGUGAUCCCAUCACAACAAUGCACAUAAAGAAAACAACCAUAAUGUUUUUUGCCAUUUUUUAGUUUUAGCUUUCUGUAAGUCUAUUUUUUUUUUUUUUGUUAUGGGCUUUAUGGUGUGAGGAAAGGAGAAGACCAUUUUAUAGCAAUUUUAGUUGUUAAAUUUAGAUUAUUUAGCAAAAAGUAGGGUUUUCUCUCACUCUCUCUCUCUCUAUUUGUAACAAGUGGCCCGUGCAUGUUUGUUUGUUCUCUAAAUACAAGCAGAGGAAGAAAGGGUCAUGACAUCAAAUAAAAUGGUUGUGUUGACUAAAAAUGAUGUCUCAAAUUAAAGGAGAAUAAAAAAUGAAAGCAUAUACAGCCUAAAGUGUGUAACAAACGUGAAAACUCAAAGGUCAAGGUCGAUGUUAAUUUUAUUCUUUCACGAACAAAUAAUUGUUGAAAACAUUCCUUUUUGAACUACUCCUCUUUUACGGAAGUCCCUUGUGUCUUUAAUCUCCAUGAUGUGGUUAAUUUACUUUACCAAAAGCAAUAACAAUACUAAUUAUUUCAAAAUAGUUUUACGUUGUAAAAAAAUAUAAAAGAAAGAAAGAAGGUGUGGUUAAUUUAAUAGAGAGUGCAUUGAGUCAAUUAUAGAAUUCAAAACACUCAUCACAAAUUUAAUCAUAAACAAUAUACCUCAAACCCGGCCCCAAAGUAUUUAGGGCACAUUAAUAUGAUUUCAAUUUUACCCAAAAUACAACCAAAUAUCAUUCCUCUUAUAUGCAGUUGAAAUAUACGUACAACUUCUCAUUUUUCUAAUUAAGAAUUUAAUUCAAUCAAUUUUUACCUAAGAACAUUCUUUUUUUUUCUUUUUACCAUUUUCUCCCUUCCUAUAUCUUUCACCAAUUUCCUAAUUUUUCCAACCCAUCUCCCCAUCUCGAAUUUUCUCUUUAUUAUUUUGCAUCCAAAGACGAAUAUUCUUCUAUCAUCUUAACAAACUUUCAGUUUUCUCUUUACAGUAUGAAUUACCAAUUGAAAAUAAACUGAUCUUAAAAUUGUUAUUAAAUUAAAGCAAUAAAACAUAUCAAUAAUCAUAAACCUAAUCUCUUUAGUAAUAUAUAAAAAACUACAAACGAAUAUUGAACAAACACGUGUGACAAAGAACUCACAAAUUGAAUAAUAAGGUGACAUAUUCACAAAAUUUCUUCUACAUAAAUAAUUAUGUAAAAUGACAUAAAUAAUUGUUGGGAUUUAUAUCCUAAAACUUGUAGAUUGUAAAUAUAAUCCAUUGACCGUUAUUAAUAUUAUUAAUAAAGUGUUAUUAUUGUAAUAAUUGUUAUUGAUUAAACUAUUAAUUUUGUCUUAAUAACUCAAAUCCAAUAAACUAACAUCCUAAGCUGUUUAAUGAGUCUUGAUGAGUAUGUAGAGACAUACAAAGAUCAAUGUUCAAGAACAACUUAAAAGGUCUAUAGUAUAGAGAUAAGGUUGGGUACCUUAUCCUGGUAACAUUAUUGAUACGGCUCACUUUGUAAUUGAUACAAACGCAAUGAUCCAACGCGUUCGUGUAGUUGGCAUGAGAGUGAGGGUAUCCUAUGCAAUGAGUUUGCUUAAGAUCGGACCGCGACACUAGAUGUAACUCUGUUAACUAGUUAGGUUUCUAUUUCACUUGGAUGACCAAGGUAACUUAGUAUUAAUGCUGAGUGUGUUAUGAACUCUUGUUCGCGAGAGAUUGUCCUUUGAUUUGUACGGGUGAGAGUGGCCAAAUCGUCGACUCAUAAGCUUAUCAUUUUGGGGACAAGACCGAGUGGGGAGCUGGGAACAUAAAUACACAAGAUGGAAUUCACUUAUUUCCUACUUUAGGGUAAGUAUAUGAGUGUUUCCUUAAAUGGUGUCUCCAGGUCUUGAACAAAGGGUCCUACCCUCUCUAUAGCACAAGAGGGGUUUUCGUUUAUUGGUAGGACCUGAAACAGAUUAUUCGUUGGAGGAGCACAGGUAUUUAAGGAUUAGAGGUAACCCGAGGGUAAAACGGUAAAUUGACCCAGCUGGUGUUAGAACACUCGUGAAGGACUAACUUACUGUUAUUGGUCUAGUGAUACAUUAUAAUAUAAAGUUUGUGAAACUUUAUUAUAUAAAUUUAAUUUUAGAUAUGAAUCAAAAUUAAUUUAUGAGAGAUAAAAUAUUUGAAUGGGUUCAAAUAUUAAUUUAAUGUGAAUUGGAUUCAUAUUAAAAUUAUUAUGAGAGAAGCUUAUAUUUGAAUAUGAUUUAAAAUUUAAUUUAAGUUAAAUAUAUUCCAAUUAAUUAGAUAGAGAAUUAAUUAAUAAUUUAGUUUUAUUUAACUAAAUUCGAUUUAAUUAAAUUUAUAAAAUAACAUUGUAGAGAUAUUCAUUCAAAUAAGAUUUGAAUGAAAUAUUAAUUAAAUAUGAUUUCAUUAAUUAUAUUAAUAUAAAUGUAUAAGAUAUUGAAAAAUAUUUAUUGAAAUAAAAUUUGAAUGAAAUAUUAAUUAAAUAUGAUUUAAUUAAUUAUUAAUUAGUUAGUAGAUUUGGUAUUAGGAAUCUCAUUAUUCUCUCAUGCUCCUGUUCCUAUUUCAAGAAGGAAAGAGAACUAUAAAUAUCUAGAAGAAAACAGUUUUCAUCAACCGAACGAAAUUCAUUAAGAAAAACAAGCAAAGGCUUUUUCUCUCUGCAAAAAGAGUUUCUCUCAAAUAUUUUCAACUCUUUUCUCAUCCCAAUUGAUUCCCACAAACCAAUCUCAUCCCAAAGGAUAGGAAGGUCUUCGACGGGUGGUGUCCCAAUUUGAUGAUUGAUUUGUAAAUUCAUAGAUGUCAUCAAAAGUAAGUUCUAUGUAUCUUAUUCUUUAAAAGCAUGCUUAGAAUUUUUUUAGAAUUUAUGAUUCUAAAAUUUUGCCAAUGUACCGGUAUUCUUAGAUUUCCAAAUUAAUUUGAGAAACAGUUCUUUAAAUUAUUCCGCUGCCAUAGGGCUUUUAUCCCUUCAAUAAUUAUGUGUGUUCAAAUCAACAUCAUAAAAGAGAAAGGUAAUACUUUUACCGUCCAAACGGUUUUUUUUUGUAGAGGGCAGGUGGUUCAACAAAAGAAAUGCAAGAAUACAUGGAACAUUUUCUACAUACAAGCAACCUUUCUUCGUAGGCUAUAGCAUUGACCAAUUUUUCAACGCUUUUGGACGAAAAUAAAAAUCGACUCUCGAGCAUAUUUUUUUUCGGCUUUUGUGGGCAAGAAACUUUAAUGUCACUCAAACGAGACAACCCAGUAGGUAGAUGUGAAUUUUUGAAAACUUUGGCAUCGUUCAAAAUUGGGUCCUUUCUUCGUAGGCUAUAGCAUUGACCUCUUUUAUAACUUUUUGGAGCGAAAAUAAAAACCGACUUUGGGCUUUUUUUUUUUUUUUUUUUUGGCUUUUGUGUGCAACAAACUUUAAUGUCACUCAAAACGAGACCACCCACUUGUUAGAUAUGAAUUUUCGAGACUUUCGACAUUCUUCUAAAUUGGAUCUUUAUUUCGUGGGCUAUAGCAGUGUCCCUUAUUUUAACGUUUUGGGACGAAAUUAAAAAUCAACUCUCGUACAUUUUAUUUUCGGCUUUUGUGGACAAAAAACUUUAAUGUCACUUAAAACGAAACCACCUAGUAGUUAGAUGUGAAUUUUCGAGACCUUUGACACCGUUCUAAAUUAAGUCCUUGCUUGGUAGGCUAUAGCAUUGGCCCAUUUUUCAAUGUCUUGGGAUGAAAGUGAAAACUGACUCUCAGACAUAUUUUUUUUCGGCUUUUGUGGGAAAAAAACUUUAUUGUCACUCAAAAUGAGAUCAACCAGUUGUUAGAUGUCAAUUUGUCAGACAUGUAGCACCGUUCUAAAUUGGAUCAUUUCUUCGUAGGCUAUAGCAUUUGUCCAUUUUUCAACGUUUAGGGACGAAAGUAAAAACCGACUCCCGGGCAUAUUUUUUUCGACUUUUGUGGGCAAGAAACUUUAAUCUCACUUAAAACAAGAUCACCCAGUAGUUAGAUGUGAAUUUUCGAGAUCUUUGGUACCGUUCUAAGUUGGGUCCUUUCUUCGUAGGCUAUAGUAUUGGCCCAUUUUACAACGUUUUGGAACUAAAGUAAAAAUCGAAUCUUGGACUUUUUUUUUUUUUUUUUGUCAUUUCUGGGAAAGAAACUUUAAUGUCACUCAAAACGAGACCACCCAGUAGUUAGAUUUGAAUUUUUGAGACCUUUGGCACCGUUCUAAAUUGAGUCCUUUUUUUCGUCAGUUAUAGCAUUGGCCCAUUUUUCAACGUUUUGGGAUGAAAGUAAAAACCGACUCUCGGGCAUUUUUUUUUUUUUUUUACUUUUGUGGGCAAGAAACUUUAAUGUCACUUAAAAUGAGAUCACCAGUAAUUAAAUAUGAAUUUUCGAGAACUUCGGCAUCAUUCUAAAUUGGAUCCCUUUCUCGUAGGCUAUAGCAUUGGCUCCUAUUUCAACAUUUCAGGAUGAAAAUAAAAAUCGACUCUCGAACAUAUUUUUUUCGGCUUUUGGGGCCAAGAAACUUUAGUGUCACUUAAAACGAGAUCACCUAGUACUUAGAUGUGAAUUUUCGAGACUUUUGGCACCAUCCUAAAUUGGGUCAUUUCUUCGUAGGCUAUAACAUUCGCCCAUUUUUCAAUGUUUUAGGACCAAAAUAAGAAUCGACUCUCAGACAUAUUUUUUUUCGGCUUUUGUGGGCAAGAAACUUUAAUGUCACUCAACAUGAGGUCACCCAGUAGUUAGAUGUGAACCUUCGAGACCUUUGACAACGUUGUAAAUUGGGUCAUUUCUUUGCAAGUUAUAGCGUUGGCCCUUUCGUCAACAUUUUGGGACGAAAUUAAAAACCGACUCUCGGGCAUAUUUUCUUCGACUUUCAUGGGCAAGAAUCUUUAAUGUCACUCAAAACGAGAUCAUCCAGUAGGUAGAUAUGAAUUUUCGAGACGUUCGACACCGAUCUAAAUUGGGUCCUUUCUUCGUAGGCAAUAGCAUUGGCCCAUUUUUCAACGUUUUGGGACCAAAAUAAGAAACGAAUCUCAAGCAUAUUUUUUUGGCUUUUGUUGGCAAGAAACUAUAAUGUCACUCAACAUGAGGCCACCCAGUAAUUUGAUGUGAACCCUCGAUACCUUUGGCACCGUUCUAAGUUGGGUCCUUUAUUCUCAGAUUUUGGCAUUGGCCCUUUUUUCAACGUUUUGGGACGAAAUUAAAAACCGACUCUCAGGCAUAUUUUCUUAUGCUUUUAUGGGCAAGAAACUUUACUGUCACUCAAGAUGAGACCACCCAGUAGUUAGAUGUGAACUUUUGAUACCUAUGGCACUGUUCUAAAUCGGGUCCUUUCUUCUCAGGCUGUAGCAUUGGCCCUUUUUUCAACGUUUUGGAACGAAAAUAAAAAUUGACUUGCGGGCAUAUUUUCUUCGACUUUUAUGGGCAAGAAACUUUAAUGUCACUCAAGACGAAACCACCAAGUAGUUCGAUGUGAACUUUCGAGACCUUUGGCACCGUUCUAAAUUGGGUCCUUUCUUCACAGACUAUAGCAUUGACCCAUUUUUCAACGUUUUGGGACCAAAAUAAGAACCGACUCUCAGGCAUAUUUUUUCGGCUUUUGUUGGCAAGAAACUAUAAUGUCACUCAACAUGAGGUCACCCAGUAGUUUGAUGUGAACCUUCGAGACCUUUGACACCGUUCUAAAUUGGGUCAUUUCUUCGCAGACUAUAGCAUUGACCUUUUCUUCAACGUUUUGGGAUGAAAAUAAAAACUGGCUCUCGGUAUAUUUUCUUCCGCUUUUAUGGGCAAGAAAUCUUAAUAACUCUCAAAAUGAGGCCACCCAGUAGUUAGAUGUGAACUUUCGUGACUUUUGGCAACAUUCUAAAUUUAUGAUGGAGGCGGAUGUUUUAUAAUAGAUAAAUAAAUAAACCAACAAAAUUAAUUAUCCCCUAUGAUCUAACAAAACGUGAUCAUCCUAGAGGUAUUUGUAUGAAUGACGAAUAUAUUUGAGAUUUAUUUUCUUGGACGAAAUUGCAACAAAUUUUCCUCUAAAUAAAUGGAAUAUCUCAAAGUCGGAUUCUCAGUUAGUUAUCCGAUUGUACCCUAAAAUUGAAACUCAAUCUUUGAUGUGCCAAUGCACUUUAGUCUCAUCUAUAUGAGAUUUGGGAAUUAAGUAUAAGCCUAAGAAAAGGAGAAUUGUAAGGUUUAUAAUUUGGUAACUAAAAUCAGAAGUUUGCAUGAGGUUUUGAAGUAUAAUUCAUAUGAAUAUUAUUCACAACAAUUUUCAAUAGUGUUUGUUUUGUUUUAUAUAUACGAAGAAGAUUUCUAAUACAAAGUGAUGUAUAUGCACUGGAGCCUCGUUUGUAAUGAAUUUUUUAAAGCUAAAAACUUUGGUUGUAUUAAAAUUGAAGCUAACAAAGAUUAAUUAAUUUUAAUCAAAGUGUCAAAUACAAGAAAUGAAUUUUUUAUUUUACUUUUGAAAUAAAAAUAGAGGAGAACGAAACAAUCACGAUUAGAAUAGAAUGGAAAUUUGUAUCAAUCAUGAUUAAAAUAAAAAUGAAUCUUCAUGUAAUUAAGAAUAAAUUUCAAUGGAUGUUUACCUAAUAACAUUCUUUUUUGUUUCUUUAAUCAAUUUCUCCCUUCAUAUGUUCUUCACCAAUUUCCUAAUUUUCUCAACCCAUCUCCCCGUCUCCAAUUUUCUCUUUAUUUUUUUUUCCAAUCCAAAGGCUAUGAAAUACCAAUUGAAAAUUAUAAACUUCUGUUGAAAUUGUAAUUAAAAUAAAAGCAGUAGAACAUAUCAUAUCACUUUAAUAAUAUAUCAAAAACUACAAAUGAAUAUUAAACAAACACAUGUGACAAAAGAACUCGCAACUUGAAUAGUACUGUAAUAUAUUUAUAAAAUUUCUUCUAUACGUUAGGAUUAUAUAAUAAAUGUAAAAUGAUAGAAAGGUUACGUGAAUAAACACUUAAACUAAAUGAAUUUUAUUGAUCUCGUUGUUGACAACAAUUAUGAAAGAAGCACACAACGAUAUGUAAGGAUAAAACCUUUGUAUAAAUAAGCAAUAAAAUUGGACGACAAGAGGGUCAAGGAAUUUAGAUUUUCCUUGUUAAAAUGCUAAUUAUUCAAAUAAUUUAUACUUGAUCCGAUCAUUUUCCCGAUCUCUGCUUUAAUAAUUCCAUGGCCAAUUAUCAAUGGGAAGUUAGUUCUUGACUGAUGCUGCAAAACAAAUGAAUAAAAAAUCAAAUUAACAAAAAAAAAAAAAACAUUAGUUGAAAGAAAUAAACAAUCAAUUUUUUUGAAUGAGUUUUCAUUCUAAAAUUUCGACUCUACGAUCCCUUCAAUUUCUAGCAUCAAAACUAUUAAAGUAAGGAAUGCGAAUCUUAUCAAACCACUAAUUUCAAGAAUAAAGAUUAAAUUUUGCCUUCCAACUAAAAUUUAUCUCACUUAAAAAAUUAAUUAUUGCCUUGAAGAAAACAAACAUUUCUGUUGAGAUUGAAGAAAAUACCAAUAGUCUUUUCCGUGCAAUCAUUGUUGCAUUUCUGAUGACAUGAAGCAUUGGCAUCGCCUUUUGCAUCACAUUCUUUCCUGCAUGUUAGUACACAUGAUUCCAUUUGAGGCCAUAGUUUCAUUCCUUCGGCGAUACUUUUGAUCUUUUCGGCCGCCUGAAGAUCUGGGCUCAUGUUAGCGGUCGUCUGUGCCUUGGAGAAUUGUAGUGAUCCCAUCACAACAAUGCACAUAAAGAAAACAACCAUAAUGUUUUUUGCCAUUUUUUAGUUUUAGCUUUCUGUAAGUCUAUUUUUUUUUUUUUUGUUAUGGGCUUU